RNAcentral lists this transfer RNA (109 nucleotides) under Perca fluviatilis (European perch). It matches the Rfam family "tRNA". From Rfam's summary of the family: Transfer RNA (tRNA) molecules are approximately 80 nucleotides in length. Lineage: Eukaryota; Metazoa; Chordata; Actinopteri; Perciformes; Percidae. The record is from Rfam by way of RNAcentral.
GUCAGGAUGGCCGAGCAGUCAAAGCAACAGAUUCAAGGUAACAACCCUUUCUGAAUAUGGGACUUCUGGUCUCCAAAUGGAGGCGUGGGUUCAAAUCCCACUUCUGACA